UACGUAGGGGGCAAGCGUUGUCCGGAAUCAUUGGGCGUAAAGCGCGUGUAGGCGGCUCGGUAAGUCUGCUGUGAAAGUCCAGGGCUCAACCCUGGGAUGCCGGUGGAUACUGUCGAGCUCGAGUCCGGAAGAGGCGAGUGGAAUUCCUGGUGUAGCGGUGAAAUGCGCAGAUAUCAGGAAGAACACCUAUGGCGAAAGCAGCUCUCUGGGACGGUACUGACGCUGAGACGCGAAAGCGUGGGGAGCGAACAGG
This 253-nucleotide ribosomal RNA is filed under the name uncultured bacterium. Its description in RNAcentral is "partial 16S ribosomal RNA". It matches the Rfam family "Bacterial small subunit ribosomal RNA", at positions 524 to 776 of the family's 1533-position model. The record is from RNAcentral.